GAAAUAUAAGUAUUUAAUACGUUUGAUUUCCAAUCAGAAAUAAGGUAAAUUUUU
Molecule: transfer RNA, 54 nt
Filed under: Corythalia opima
Lineage: Eukaryota; Metazoa; Arthropoda; Arachnida; Araneae; Salticidae
Description: tRNA-Gly
Source: RNAcentral